UACGUAGGUGGCGAGCGUUGUCCGGAAUUACUGGGUGUAAAGCGCGUGUAGGCGGGAGGCCAAGUCUGUGGUGAAAUCGCUCGGCUUAACUGGGCGGGGUCCAUGGAAACUGGUCACCUGGAGGUCGGUAGAGGCAAGUGGAAUUCCCGGUGUAGUGGUGAAAUGCGUAGAGAUCGGGAGGAACACCAGUGGCGAAGGCGGCUGCUGGGCCGGACCUGACGCUGAGACGCGAAGGCGUGGGGAGCGAACGGG
RNAcentral lists this ribosomal RNA (252 nucleotides) under uncultured bacterium. RNAcentral describes it as "partial 16S ribosomal RNA". It matches the Rfam family "Bacterial small subunit ribosomal RNA", at positions 524 to 776 of the family's 1533-position model. The record is from RNAcentral.